This 460-nucleotide ribosomal RNA is filed under the name uncultured bacterium. RNAcentral describes it as "SSU rRNA". It matches the Rfam family "Bacterial small subunit ribosomal RNA", at positions 26 to 518 of the family's 1533-position model. The record is from RNAcentral.
AGAACGAACGCUGGCGGCAGGCUUAACACAUGCAAGUCGAGCGCCUCGGCAACGGGGAGCGGCAGACGGGUGAGUAACGCGUGGGAACAUACCCUCCGGUUCGGAAUAACUCAGGGAAACUUGAGCUAAUACCGGAUACGGCAACCAAGAGAGAUUUUGGCGGCGAAAGAUUUAUCGCCGGAGGAUUGGCCCGCGUCCGAUUAGCUAGUUGGUGUGGUAAUGGCGCACCAAGGCGACGAUCGGUAGCUGGUCUGAGAGGAUGAUCAGCCACAUUGGGACUGAGACACGGCCCAAACUCCUACGGGAGGCAGCAGUGGGGAAUAUUGGACAAUGGGCGCAAGCCUGAUCCAGCCAUGCCGCGUGAGUGAUGACGGCCUUAGGGUUGUAAAGCUCUUUCGCUCGGGACGAUAAUGACGGUACCGAGAUAAGAAGCCCCGGCUAACUUCGUGCCAGCAGCCGC